Vicugna pacos (alpaca) is the source of this 860-nucleotide long non-coding RNA. RefSeq lists it as uncharacterized. The record is from RefSeq and is a predicted model, not a curated record. Lineage: Eukaryota; Metazoa; Chordata; Mammalia; Artiodactyla; Camelidae.
CUAGGCAGCAGGGAUCUAAGCAUCCAGUCUCUGCUCUUGAAGAGCUUACAGUCGAGUGUGAAAAAGAGGAGAAACGGGACUGCUACAACCCAAAGGCAUGAAUCCUAUGACUGAGGUGUUUCAUGUGAAAGAGGAAGUACAUUUGUUCCCGUGGCUCCAGAGGAGAGAAAGCAGACCAGGAGGCUCCCAUGCUGGGACAAUGAAGGGCUUUGGCAGGACUUCCUGACCACCACAGCUCCCAGACCACAGAACUGACUUUUCUGCAAGGCUGUGGCCACCUGUCCCUGGAGAUGAGACAUUGAUAUGAAAAAUAGACAGCCAUCUCUCAGAGGACCCACAGAAUGACUUCUACUGUGGCUGGCAGAAUAAGAUGUAUUUACUUCUGCUUUUACAACCUUGAGAUAUUCUUUAGAUAGUAGCAACAGUUCCUGACAUCCGGAUAAUAUUUCACAUGAGACAAAACACUACCAUGGAGCAUCUUAUUUCAUCCCAAGCAGCCUCCUUUUGGGGACGAAGUAGCUCCUGCUUAGAGAACCAGCCUGACUUGCCCAAGGAUACGCAGAGUGAAUGGGAGAGUCAGAAGACAGACCUAGGCCAGAUGAUCCCAAGGUUGUUCUUCCUGACCUGUGAAUCCAAGACCCCAGUCUAACGCCUACACUUAUGCAGCCCGGAGGGGCCAACCCCUGCUCAGCCAGGAGCACGCUGACUCCUGACUGUGGAAAGUUUGCCUGUGUCUGAAUGCAAACAGAUGUCUCCAGCUGCUGAAUCGUGCGGCCAUGCGAAACCAAUCACCCACUCUGCACAAACAGACUUCAUCAGGCCAAAGUCUGAAGAUGCAACCAACUCAUCCUGCUUCUCAU